AAGAAUUUAAGUUAAAAAAACUAUUAACCUUCAAAGUUAAAAUUAGGUUAUAUAUCUAAUUCUUA
This 65-nucleotide transfer RNA is filed under the name Curculionoidea sp. 4 KM-2017. RNAcentral's name for it is "tRNA-Trp". The record is from RNAcentral. Lineage: Eukaryota; Metazoa; Arthropoda; Insecta; Coleoptera.